This 472-nucleotide ribosomal RNA is filed under the name uncultured bacterium. RNAcentral's name for it is "bacterial SSU rRNA". It matches the Rfam family "Bacterial small subunit ribosomal RNA", at positions 30 to 483 of the family's 1533-position model. The record is from RNAcentral.
AUUGAACGCUGGCGGCAUGCCUUACACAUGCAAGUCGAACGGCAGCACGGGGCAACCUGGUGGCGAGUGGCGAACGGGUGAGUAAUGCAUCGGAACGUGCCAUUGAGUGGGGGAUAACGUAGCGAAAGUUGCGCUAAUACCGCAUAUUCUGUGAGCAGGAAAGCAGGGGACCGCAAGGCCUUGCGCUCUUUGAGCGGCCGAUGUCAGAUUAGCUAGUUGGUGAGGUAACGGCUUACCAAGGCGACGAUCUGUAGCGGGUCUGAGAGGAUGAUCCGCCACACUGGAACUGAGACACGGUCCAGACUCCUACGGGAGGCAGCAGUGGGGAAUUUUGGACAAUGGGCGCAAGCCUGAUCCAGCCAUGCCGCGUGAGUGAAGAAGGCCUCGGGUUGGUAAAGGACUCUUUCGGUCCGGGAACGGAAAGUACGCCGAUGGGUUAAGUACCCGUUACGUGUGGAUGACGGUACCGGAA